GUGCUCACUUCAGCAGUACGCACACUAAAAUUGGAAUGAUACAGAGCAGAUUAGCAUGGCUCCUGUGCAAGGAUGACAUGCAAAUUUGUGAAGCAUUUCAUAAUAAA
This is a small nuclear RNA of Saimiri boliviensis boliviensis (Bolivian squirrel monkey), 107 nucleotides long. Lineage: Eukaryota; Metazoa; Chordata; Mammalia; Primates; Cebidae. The record is from Ensembl.